RNAcentral lists this transfer RNA (78 nucleotides) under Candidatus Bathyarchaeota archaeon. Its description in RNAcentral is "tRNA-Arg". It matches the Rfam family "tRNA". Rfam says of the family: Transfer RNA (tRNA) molecules are approximately 80 nucleotides in length. Their secondary structure includes four short double-helical elements and three loops (D, anti-codon, and T loops). The record is from RNAcentral. RNAcentral also lists the same sequence under 1 other name. Lineage: Archaea; Thermoproteati; Candidatus Bathyarchaeota.
GGGCCCGUAGCUCAGCCUGGAUAGAGCGGCAGCCCCCUAAGCUGUAGGUCCGGGGUUCGAAUCCCCGCGGGCCCGCCA